UCCUUCCAAAAAUUCAUGUAAAAUUGCAUUAUCUAUGAAUUCCAUUUCUCUGCAAACAUUUCGAAAUACUCUCAUAUUCCUGCUGACGACGCUGUUCUCUGUGUGCUUGCAAAACUCCCUAGUCUGCUGCAUUCAUGGCUCGCAGUGACUUCCACUUAGGAGCCUUGCCCAGGUGAAUCUGGGCUCUGGACUGUGAGGUGACAGCGUGCUUUGGUAGCAAGGUCUCUACCCUUUAUGCUAAUGGUUGCCUCUGUCCACGUGUCCACGUUAUCUCUGAUUGCCACACUUUUCUGUUGCAUUGAUAGGACUCAGAGAGCCUACUGAUAUUUUUCAGCUCACUCUUGUCUCCCUCAUCACAGGUGAGUUCCCCAUAAGGAAGAUGUCCACAGAGACUCAAAAUGCCCUCAGAGUCACCUCGCAGUGGGAGGGAGUGCAUUUGGUGAUGCCCAAGGUCAGGGUGCAGGACUCUGCAUGAGACUUUCGUGUGUUCUCCGUUUCUUGAGGGUUAAUGGUGAAUAUAGGAAAGCAACAAAAUAUGACUACUGUAUCAGCUUACCAUGUGAGUGGAACCUCUGCACCACCAUGAUCAGCCUUCAUGGAAGCCAAACUAUGGGCCCACCUAUCCUGAACUGUAACCUCAAACUGUAAAGUGAAAUAAACCAUUUCUUUCCUAAGAAGCUUCUCUUGGGUAUUUUAGUUAAGGUAAUGACAAUGGACUCAUGCAGAAAAUUGGUACUGAGACGUCGCAUUGUUAGUAUUAACCACACCGGAAGAUGUGGGGGAGCCUUUGGAAUUGGUAUACUGGGGAAGCUUGGAAGAGUUUGGAGUGGAGCCUGGGGAAGCCUAGAAAGCAAUAAGCUGAGUAUUAUGGGCAGUUUUGAUGGGGCUCUGAAGACUAGAAUGCUGUUGGAAAUAUAGAGGAUAAGGAUUGCGGGUAGGUUUCAGAUGGAAAUGAGAAUCCUAUUGGGAAUUGGACCAAGGAGCACUUCCGCUGAACUGGACCAAGGAACCUGGCUGUUUUGUGUCUCUGCCCUGGGACAGUGCAUCGGACUUAAAGAUGGUGGACUGGGUUGUUUGGCAGAGGAGAUGUCAAGGCAGCCAAGUGUUCCAGCUACCCUGGGUGUUGAUGGCUGCUCUUAAUACAUUUACAGUGAGAACCAGGGGUAAAAAGGACAGAGUAAAAGGAUUUGGAGAAUUUGCAGCCUGAUCAUAGACUGAAUGAAGACAAAGCUGUGUGUUUGGGACAGGAAAAUGCCAUAGAGAAACUGUUUGCUAAAGAUCUAAGCUCAGGCAAAAGGAAGCCAUGUGUAAUGAGCCAAUGUGAGAAAGACCCUGAAGGCAUCCCGCAUGUCUUCAAGGCUGCUCCUGUCAUCAGAGGCCCCUCCAGGAAGUGCAACUUUACUUCAAAGAAGGAGCCCCAGGGCACCCUGCUCACUCUGCACCAGCUCUGGAUUUUGGUUGGCUGGGUCCAAGUCUGCCUCUUACUGGUGGCAGACCUUGACCUUGUCCAUGUGGUGCUAGCUUUACAGGCCUGCAAAACUCAAGUUAUGGCGUCAUGGUGAUAAAGAGUGGAGACAGACAGAUUCUUGAUGCAGGCAGACAGAGAGGGAUAGGGGGUCUGCGAGGAAGGAUCCUGCAGUUGUAGAUGAUGUUAAUCAACCCAGAGUUCCGACCACCAAGGACCUGCCUGAGCACCAGCUUUCUCUGUAGCAAAUGAGUUACCCUGGCUCUGACCUCCGGUGACUUACAAUGAACACUUCAGUCCUCACUUGGUUAGCGUAUCUAUGCAAAAAGGGGAUUCUGGCAGCUGCUCCCUGAGUGGCCACUGAAGAUUUUCAUCUUACUGACAUAUAUAGCCAUCAAUCAGGGUAAGUUCCCCCAUUGAAAACAUAAAAACAGGGCCCUGCCCUGGGUGCAGCAGGUGAAGCUGCUCCACUUCCUAUCCAGUUACUUGCUAAUGCACCUGGGAAAGCAGUGGAAAAUGGCUCAAGGCCUUGGGCCCCUGUACCCAAGCCAGAGACCCUUACAGCUCCUGGCUCUUGGCUUCCACUUGGC
Oryctolagus cuniculus (rabbit) is the source of this 2055-nucleotide non-coding RNA. The record is from RefSeq and is a predicted model, not a curated record. NCBI's taxonomy places the organism in Eukaryota, Metazoa, Chordata, Mammalia, Lagomorpha, Leporidae.